This is a non-coding RNA of Hydra vulgaris (swiftwater hydra), 345 nucleotides long. NCBI's taxonomy places the organism in Eukaryota, Metazoa, Cnidaria, Hydrozoa, Anthoathecata, Hydridae. The record is from RefSeq and is a predicted model, not a curated record.
CCGCAUUAAUUUUUAAGUUGUUGUUUUGAAUUCUAUUAAAAAAAUUCAAAACAUGUAAAAUUAAAAAAAUAGUGUAGCAAUAAGUUUUGUAUUGCUAUAGCAUCUGUGUAUCGCACAAUGAAGUUAGAGUGAUUUUCAGCAAUAAGAAAUUUGACAACAAAUGCAAGCAUUAGGAGAAACUUUUUUUGGAAAUUGCUGUUUAUAAAAAAAGAUAUGAAUUCAUUAUAAACAGAGCAGCAAACUUAUGGAACACAUUGGGAACACAGCAAAAUUACGGAGUGCAUUGGAAGUUGUCAAGUCAACAAAUGUAAACAGUUUUGAGAAAAAAUUAGGCAAAUUUUUAUU